GCCGGGCAUGGUGGCGCACGUCUGUGAUCUCAGUGGCUCAGGAGGCUGAGGCAGGAGAAUCGAGAGUUCAAAGCAAUCAUCAGCAACUUAGUGAGGCCUUGAGCAACUUAGCAAGACCCUGUCUCAA
Molecule: small RNA, 127 nt
Filed under: Marmota monax (woodchuck)
Lineage: Eukaryota; Metazoa; Chordata; Mammalia; Rodentia; Sciuridae
Source: RNAcentral